AAAUUGAAGAGUUUGAUCAUGGCUCAGAUUGAACGCUGGCGGCAGGCCUAACACAUGCAAGUCGAACGGUAACAGGAAGCAGCUUGGCUGCUUUGCUGACGAGUGGCGGACGGGUGAGUAAUGUCUGGGAAACUGCCUGAUGGAGGGGGAUAACUACUGGAAACGGUGGCUAAUACCGCAUAACGUCGCAAGACCAAAGAGGGGGACCUUCGGGCCUCUUGCCAUCAGAUGUGCCCAGAUGGGAUUAGCUUGUUGGUGAGGUAACGGCUCACCAAGGCGACGAUCCCUAGCUGGUCUGAGAGGAUGACCAGCCACACUGGAACUGAGACACGGUCCAGACUCCUACGGGAGGCAGCAGUGGGGAAUAUUGCACAAUGGGCGCAAGCCUGAUGCAGCCAUGCCGCGUGUAUGAAGAAGGCCUUCGGGUUGUAAAGUACUUUCAGCGGGGAGGA
Molecule: ribosomal RNA, 452 nt
Filed under: Salmonella enterica subsp. enterica serovar Typhi
Lineage: Bacteria; Pseudomonadati; Pseudomonadota; Gammaproteobacteria; Enterobacterales; Enterobacteriaceae
Description: bacterial SSU rRNA
Rfam family: Bacterial small subunit ribosomal RNA
Source: RNAcentral